UUUUUUUUUUUUAUGUUUAUUCAGUGAGGAUAAAGUACAGAUUUUCAUUAAAUACAUUGAGCAUUUUUCAAGAUGAUGGAUAUGAAAGGAAUAGGGGUCAAAUUCCAAAGGGCAAUCAUAUACAUCAAGUGAUUAUCUAAAUUUAAGUUAUUGUGUUUGCUAGGUACAUUGUUAGCUUCACCAAAAUAUCGAGCUAUACGAGUGUGAUGGCUAUCUAAUAGUAUUAAAUUUGGAUAUGAAACUAGAAUGUUGCAUGGUUUUCAUAGAGUUCAUUGCAACUAUUUAUUAAGAAGGAUAUAUAUGAACUGCAAGAUAUGCCACCUAGCCCUCAUGAGCCUAGAUACUUACAUGUUCUCCAAUUCUAGUAGACCUUCUAGAUCUCUUGA
This 386-nucleotide unclassified non-coding RNA is filed under the name Hevea brasiliensis (rubber tree). The record is from RNAcentral. Lineage: Eukaryota; Viridiplantae; Streptophyta; Magnoliopsida; Malpighiales; Euphorbiaceae.